Neopelma chrysocephalum (saffron-crested tyrant-manakin) is the source of this 5767-nucleotide long non-coding RNA. RefSeq lists it as uncharacterized. The record is from RefSeq and is a predicted model, not a curated record. The transcript is spliced from 2 exons. Lineage: Eukaryota; Metazoa; Chordata; Aves; Passeriformes; Pipridae.
UUUUUCUUCCUCUCUGCAGGAAUGGACAUACACAUACAACCACCAAGUCCGCCAGCAGCAGCUGUGUUUGUCUGUGUACACACUCUUCCCUGGUUCCCAGGUGCUGCUGUCACCUUGUAAAGAAGGUGACAACAAGCAGCGAUGGGGUAAAGUUGGGUCACACAUUGAACACAUAGCCUCACGCUUCUGUUUGGACACUGAGACGAUUGGGGACACGAAUGAAAGUAUUAAAGAGCUUGUCAUCAACCCUUGUGAGAGCACAGCCAUGAGUCAGCGCUGGGACAUGGUGAUGUCUUGACCUGCUGGAGGAGGUGCACGGCAGGGACGGGCACUGAGACGUUGCUACACGCAGCCAAGAUGCACCAGCUGGAGCUCAAAUGCAAAACCAUUGGGGUUCCUUGUGUGCUGUGGAAAGGAAGAAGAAUCGUUCAGAUAAAAAUGGGACACAGUGCUCCAAAUUGAACAACGCAUUUUGACUCUAAGGCACGCAGCUGGUAUUGGCCUGUUGGCAGUCAUACAUUCAAAGAGAAGAGAUGGCAAAAAACAAGCUUGAAAUGUUUUAGAGGGAUGCUGGGGCUCCUGCUAUGGCCUGUAUAGAACUUCAGUGUGCACAGUAUUGGUUAUCCACCUGAAAACGCAGGUAGAAGAGCCUUGAAGACCAAAAGGAAACUUGAACUGAGCAAAGCAAGCAUCUCAAUAGCUUUUGAGGGUUGAGGUGGGUGCACAAGGUGGGAUGUGCCAAGGGAUGCUAAGAAACAUCUCCAGGGAUCAAGUGGAAAACACUGAAUUAUCUUUGCACCUUUUACUGCUGUGGAUGUUCUUGUCUCUGCAGACAGCAUUGGGUGGAGCCGUGUUGCACGUUUGAAUUUGUACCUAAUCCACGUACAUGUUAUGUAUACAGAGGCAGAGCAGUCAUUUAUGUCUGUGGCCAGGAUCAAAACAGCAGGUAGUGGGGGAAUCCUGCUUUGUGCUAACUGCACAUGGGGCUUGUUGAAUCUCCAAAGCCCAAGCAAACAGAGGAUUCAGUGUGUGAGAUUAAAGGAUAUAAACCGCUGUGAAGCUGGGAGGAAACGCAGUAACAUGAUUAUUUCUUCUCUCUGGAGGCCAUGGGUCACUGAAAACUCCCCUAUAAUCUCUCUAUGUGUCUCUCACUGCUUCAGAUCUGGACUAAAUCAAAUUUUCACUUUUAUUCCAUAAAAGUAAUAUUUUUGGUAAUUGAAGGUAAUUGUGUCAUAUUUCUGUUUCUCAAUUUCCAAACUACAGAAGAGGGGACUGCCAUGAAGUGCUGCUACUAAAGGAAUGGUGAAGGUAAUUAAAAUUAGAGACUGCUCUGAGAAAGGAAAAGGGAUAUUACCUGGUUUUGCUUCCCAGGUAUCUUGUAGUCCAAGAUAUGAAGUACUGAAGAAAAGGUUUGGGAUUCCCCAGUCACACUGUGAGCAGGGAAGUCUGUGUCACGACGUACCUCUCUCUCAAAGAUAUUUAACAUAGGCAGACCUGGCAGAAAUUAUUUCUUCAGCUUUUGGAGAUAAGUCAUCAACCAGAGGUCAUGGCAGGUGCUAUCAGUAUGUGGGAGUGAGGUGUGACUGCCAAAGGACAAUAGGACAGAUGACCUCAGAAAGGGUCUUAGGCAUAGAAGACUGGAAGGUUGUUUCUAGCCUGUCUUUCAGGGCAGCUGCUACUACAGCAGCAGAUAACAGGCACUGGAUCUCCAAGAGCUGUGCAUGCAGCUCUUGUGAAGUAAAAACUCUCAGAGAACUUUUGCAGGACUGUCAAUGCGACUUGAAAAAGAAAAAUAUAGUUUGUGUCUCUAAAAAUGCUAGGAUUUAAUGAAAAUCCUAUCCUUUUUUUCCUGUGCUGCAAACUGGAGGUAAAAUACCAUAAGCUUUAAGCCUUCAAGCACUCUCAGCAUCCCUUCUUGAAUAAAUUGCUGGCUUUCAGGAUUUUACUGCCUCAGUUUCUCCUCCCUCAGUGCUGGGAGAAAGCCAUAUGUGUAAAUCUCCCUGCCUUUGAAGCAGAACCAGUAUAGCUCUUUAUGUACAAAAGGUCGCAGUGCAACAUGCUUUUCAUGUGCUGCAGUGAUUACUAACCUCAUCAAGCUCCCUUGGUGCACGCCUCAAGGGCCUCUGUUAUGAAAGGGCUGGAGCAAGCUGUCAUUUCAUGGUGGGAGGUGGCAUUGUUUCCAUGCCACCACUUUGCAAAGGAGACAAAGGGAAGCACUUAAAAUGGAAUGGACCCAUUUCAAAAAGAAGGGCAGUGACUUUGGGCUUCUUCUAUUUAAUUAAACAGGGAAAUAUCACACUUCUCACAAUAGUGGUGUCAGGCAAGUGGUAGUAAUUCCCAGUCUAGUGCUUACAAGGGAAAGCAGCUCCCAGGAGCUUGAAGCUUAACAGGUUCACACCUGUACUGUGCCUACAGCCUGGGACUGCCCAGCUGCUGGCACUUCGAUUCUGAAAAUCUUGGCGUUAGUUUUGAAGUUCAGCACCUGCCAGGUACACUGAGUAGGACCUCAGACCUAUCUAGCUCUACUGUUUUCCAACAAAGCUGAAAAUACCCCUUCUGCUGACAGCCAAAGCUCUCUAAACAGGUAAUGCUCUUUGCCUUAGCAAAAACAGCUACCUCACGACUUGUGUGUGUGUGCUUGAGCACAGGGACCCAUGGGACCUGCAGGAAUGUAUUCUAGGAAGGAAUUGUUUGACCAGCUUUUCAGCUCUCUUGCCUUUUGCGAAACACCAAUGCUGUACCAAAUCCCUCCUAUUCCAAAACAUGCACUAAGGUGAUCACUGUGAACAUGUUUGGGGGCAAUGGAAGGCAGGCAGUGGGGAGGGCGACAUCAGGAAUGGUGUUCCCUGCUAGAGAGUAGUAACUAAGUUCAGCUGAGCCCAAAAGCCACCUAACAGACAUGGGUAAAGCAGCCACUUGGCAAGCUGGUGAUUGUGUCUCACACAUAUAUCAGCUGUAACCCUUAGGCUACAACUUAUUUCAUGGUCCAAGAAAUGAGAUUAUCCCUGUGGAUCAGCAAUGUUUUCGGAGAAGCCUGAGACUAUCAGCCUAACUCCUGGGAAGGUUUAUAUAAGCUGGCAAUGCUCUGGCAGUCUCCAGAGUCAGCCCCCCUAUGGCAUUUAGCAAAUCUGCUUAAUAUCCCUGCAGAGACCUUGCAUCAUGUCAGGGGAAAGGUUAACUGCUGCUGAAAUCCAAUGCAUACCUUUAGGUUUAUUUCACUUAUUAAAAUAGACUGAAGACAGGUUUUUGCUUUGUAUUUGUUCCUUGUGUAGGCCUUUAUUAUCAUGCUGUGAACAGAUAAAUGUGACGGAUAGGUAUCUAGAUGGGCUCCCAUGCCAAUACUUCUUAAGCCCUAAUGUCAUUUGGUAGUAAUGCUUUUUGGUAACAUUUUGCGCUGCCUUGGAAGAAAAUAAGAUAAAGUAGAAAAUAUGAUUCUAAUCCUGGCUGUUGAGCUUUUUGACAGCCUUUAUGAUCUACAGGUAAGUCAUUUCUUGUGCCUUGGGAAAAUUAGAUUCAGAACAGGAAACUUGGGGCUAGAACUACUACUGGCUUUUAAAGAGCCAACUAAGGCUAUUAAAAAAAAACCACAUCAAAAAGACCCCAAACAAAAACUCAAACAAGCACUAGCCCUUCCCUCAUGAAGGAGAUCCGUGUUCCACUGAGAAAAAAAUCUAUCUGGUUUUAGUUGGGCUGGAGAAGUCUUGCAGUCCUUAUGUUGCUGCUUAUGUGAUUUCCAGGUAUUUUGUGUUCACCUUCUCUCUGUACCAGUGAGUACCAUAAGAUAACAACAAAAAUCAUCAGUGCUUGGAACCUCAGGUUACAACAUGGCAAGGUAGUAAUUUAAUAGUAAAGAGAUGGAAACUGAAUUCAAAGGUUUUGAUUAUUCAGCAAUGCAACAGGAAAAUAGAUAGAUGGAGACUGGUGGUUCAAGACAAGCAGCAGCCCUGAGUGCUAAUCCCUUCUUCUGCUUCUAGGAGUGGUUUGGGAUAGCUUACUUCAUUUCCCUGCCACAGCUUCCCAAACUUUUAGUGAAGACUGAAUGUUUUGAACAGAGAGAAAGCCAAGGAUUAGUUUUUGUUGCAUGCAAUUCCAGCAGUACUGGACUGGCAGUCUCUGGAGCUAUUAGCUCCAUGAACCCAUUUUAUCUGCCUGAAGAGGGUCUGAUUCAGACGGAGUUAAUUUUCUUCAUAACAGCCUGUAAUGUCUUGUGUUUUAGACUGAUGACCAAAACAGUGUUGAUAACACACCACAAUGUUUUAGUUUGACAACACACCUGUUUUAGUUAUUGCUGUGCCUGCGCAGUGUCAAGGCCUUCAUCUCUCACCCUGCUAGGUAGCAAGUAGGCUAGGGUUGGGGAAGAGGGUUUGGAGGCAACACAGCUGGGUCAGCUGACCCAAACUGACCAAAGACACAUAUCAUACCAAAUAAUGUCACACUCAGCAAUAAAACUGGGGGGAGUUUUGCUUUGGGAGGUGUUGCUUAGAGACCUGACAGAGCAUCAGUCUGCAAGUGGUGAGUGACUGCAUCACUUUUUUGUUUUUGUUUUCUUUUAUUUUCCUUCACUUAUUAGACUGUCUUUAUCUUUACCCACAAGUUUUUCUCAUUUUUGCCCUUCUGAUUCUUUCUUCUAUCCCAUUUGGCAGGGAGUGAGGGAGUGUCUGGGUGGGGGCUUAGCUGCCAGACGAGGUCAACCCACCAUACUGCCCUAAGCAAACCGAGGUCUGUAGUGUAUCAGGAUUCAAGGCUCGGGCUCUGAUCACAACUGUGCAAUAGGAUCUGCACUGCUCAAAUUUCUGAUCUUAAAAGCUUUAGUGAAGAGCUAUGGGCUAGGAUUGUUGGUAGAAGUGGUAAAGGAAGGAAAAUCAAGCAUAUUGCACACAAGCAGCAAAAGAAACUGUAGCUCAUUAAUGUGCUGGCUAAAUUAAUUUUGAAUGAUCGGUCCAGCUCCAGUUUUAAUAUGCAGCUGCUUUAGAUGGCCGAAGAGUUUAAGGAAGCCUGGUAUGAGUUUCCAGCUUAUGUUGAAACUUAAGUGGAAUUUUCCCAGAUUUAUGGAUGUUUUCCAAAUGUCCACUGUCCUAUUACUUGCUGGAAGUGCCUUCAGAACCCCAUAAGAAUAAAAACCUGUUGCAAGCUACCACCUCUCCAACUGAGUCUAAUUAAGUUUCAAGUUGAGCUGCAUUUUAGCUUAGAGCUGAUGAAAAACAACAUGUAAAUUUGCAGGUAAGAAUGCUGCUUUUGUGGUGUAAAUGGCUGUUUUGUUUUUUCUGGUAUUACUUGGGCUCUGAAGAAAUCCAAGCUGGUUGAGUGUGAUGUACAAAAGAAAACAUGACUGAGUUUCAAGACUGAGUUUUGCAUAAGCACUCAUCUAGUAAUUAUCUAUCAAUUGUCCAUAUCAAUGAGUAAUGUCUCUCAUUUUCCUAUGAUUUAUAUGAAAGAAGUGUCCUGACAAGAUAUUGCUACUGCACAGGGUUGAAUUCAGUUGUAAAACCAACCAACCAACCAACCAACCAACCAACCAACCAACGAAGGAGGAAAAAAAGGAGAAGGAAUGUUCAUAGCUUGUAUGUAACCUGAUACAUGCAAUAAAAGAAAGAUAUUGCAAAAUUAGAACUGUUCCCAGGCUGAAAGGUUCAGGUUUAUAACAGCAUCAGAGCACAAUCUGCCUAACCCUCAGUUUUCUUACUAAGACCAUGUGCCUCUGCAGUCCUCCUGUGGUCCUUCAGAGAAGCCAUACUUCUGUCAAGUAUUAAACAUGCACUACAUGGUC